RNAcentral lists this long non-coding RNA (225 nucleotides) under Elaeis guineensis (African oil palm). Its description in RNAcentral is "long non-coding RNA (EGUI_LNC072420)". Lineage: Eukaryota; Viridiplantae; Streptophyta; Magnoliopsida; Arecales; Arecaceae. The record is from RNAcentral.
GGUUGAAUCAUGCCCUGAUUGCAGACUAGAAGAUCGCCGCCCGACCGACUAUUGGGCCCUAGGACGGCUUUGGUGAGUUUGCCUCCUCUCUGGGCUCUGAGGAGGCACACAUGGCUCUGGCUGUAGUGGGGGCACCAUUACGGGAGGCACUGAUAGUGUCGUCGAGAAAACCACUGAUUGCACUGUCGAGGGAGGUGCGCAGGGGCAACCUGAGUAAGUUGUGGC